Molecule: long non-coding RNA, 7618 nt
Filed under: Homo sapiens (human)
Lineage: Eukaryota; Metazoa; Chordata; Mammalia; Primates; Hominidae
Description: HSALNT0327673
Source: RNAcentral
UGAUUCCUCUGCCUUGGCCUCCCAAAGUGCUGGGAUUACAGGCAUGAGCCACCACACCCAGGUACUUGUUAAGCCUGAGAAUAGAAUUGCUGGCCCUCCUUCUAUGUAAGCUCCCAGUCUGUCUGCAGAGGCCAGCCUUAAGGUUACUGUUUCUGCUGCUCAGAUGGCCCCAAGCAGGGGGACUCCAGGUGUGAUAUUGGGUACAUUGGUCAUCCCUCUGCCUCCCACCUGGAUGGAAACAGUCUGAGAGCCCUCUCUGUGGCUUGGUUUUAGGCAGGACCUUAGGACUUGUGGGUGAAUUGAUGGGGGAGAUACACACUUACCUAUGUCCUCUUUCCCAGCAUGGGACUUGAAUGCUGCUAUUGGUGCACAUUUCUGCAGACGUGUCUCUGGCUGUCAGGAUGCAGAAUGUUGGUAGGUCCAGUGUGGGGGCUGCCAAAGGCGGUGUCAUGUGCUCUGUGGAUUUUUGUGUGAUUAUAAUGGUCCCAUUUGAAGUUUUCCUGUUUGUUGCAGUAAAACCUCUCUUCAGUGUCUGUUACCUUUCUCUAUAUUCUUGGUGAAGGAGAGAGAUAGUAAUAAGGGGCCUAAAUGAGGUAAGAAGAGCAGAUGCUGUUCUCUGCUUCCUCCCUGCCACCAACAUUCCUUCUGCCCUGUUUUUCCUGGCCAGCUGUGCUCUGGGCAGUCCAAGCCUGUGAACCAGCCACACCCAGGAUCUGUGGUGGAGCUCAGUCCCAGACUGUUCUGGAAGAGUCGCCCAGAGGAGCCGUGUGGUCUCCCAUUCAGCAACAGAGUACGGGAUGGUCUCUCUGAAGGGCAGAGGGUCUGAGCACUGUCCCCUUCAUGGCAUCUAAGGCUGAAAUGCUGAAUGAUGCAAUGAGAGGAUUCUAGGGGAGAAAAGGAGCUGUACAUGGGCUUGAUUCUUCCCUCCCCAGCUGGUGGACACAGCACCAGAGGUGGAGCUGGAGGGCCCUCCACUGACCCACAUGCACUCCACUUUGCAGCUGUGCCCUGGGACACACUUAUAAUCUCAAAGUGUUAUGAAUUCCAACCACUGGAUUCUACCCUACUUCUGACAUAAUCUUCUUGGGUUGAUAGUAGCCUGUCUCAUUACCGAGUAUUUCUUCUUAUGGGUAGCCCUGGUUAGUCAUUUUCUUUUAACUUUUUGUUUAAAGAAGACCUGUAGAUAUGAGCUUUUUGUCAGAGAUGAUCUCUGCAGGCCUGAGUCUAAACUGUUAACCCUCUCUCAGAGAAUGAGUGCUGGCUCUUGAAUUUCAGGCGCUUUGACAUUUACUGAGGGAAAGAAGGAGAAUGGAAGGAGUGAGCAUAAAGCGCUGACCUGAGUGGAAUGGCGGGUCGACUUGCCAGAGCCCCGAGAUGAUUAUACUCUCCCAGCUCUAGGACAAGCUGUCCAAUUUCCCAAAAACCAAUUUGACAAUUGUCGAGUGACCAAUUUGCUGAAUUAGAAGAAUUUACUAAUUUACCAAAUUGCUUAUUUCUUUUAUGCAUUUCUAAAGACUUGAGCAAUUGGCAUGGGCUGGGUUGGCAGGGCCUGAAAGGGUUUGGAGCAAUGAGUCAGAAGCAAUGGUCUCUGGGAACAACCCUGUAGGUGGCGCCACUCUCUGGACUGAGAGGGGCACUGGGUGGAUGGUGGAGAGUUAGGGGAGGCUUUGCUGCAGAGAUCCGAGCCUUGCUGACUCUUCAGUUCUUGUUUUUAAAGCAAUCCUUAUUUUUGACCACCUUUUUUCCUUAAAAGUCAGUCAGCUCACCACUUUUGGAUUCUUCCUUGACUUCCUGGCCGUACAUACUUCCCAUCCUCACGCUGCCUCACUUGUUUGGCUCUUCAUCUCUCUCCUUCUCCUCCUUCACCCUGGAGCAACACCGGAGGCCUCUCAUGUCCUCCCGUGGAGAAGUGGGAGAACAGCACAGCCCUUGCCUUACUAUUUUGUUCUUACGACCCUCAGACCUUCAGGGGCUCACUUUCUCCCACAGCACUGUAGCCAAAGAAAGGUUUCUUUCCUAAGAGGGAUUAUGGUAUCAGCUCUUCAAAUACCAUUAAAUUUUUAUUUUCUACACAUAAACACAUUCUUAUGGUUUUGGAAAAUGGAAGCAGUAUAAAACCAAAAUUUUUUGCAAACUCAGUGUGAUAGCCUUCAUAUAUUAGGCAUUCAAUGAAUAUUUUAGUGAUUAACAAAUGGGUGGUUUUUAAUAAUGAACCUCACCCUGUUAUAACCAAAUACUCGUGUCAGAGAAACUAGCUUGCUUUUAUAUCAAGAUUAUGGCCCUGGAUUUUGAUAAUGCCACAGAAAUAUUGUCAAAUGUUGUUCACUCGGCUCUGCUCUUUCCAAGUUGAGGUGAGCUAAGGGAGCCAACCAAAGUAAGGUUGGUUUCCUGCUCCUUUUCCCCCCCACUUAACCCUUUGCUUAAAAAGCUCUCCGAGGCCAUAAACUACUAGGACACAACUCCCUAUUAAUUAGCCAUUUAUAACUAUGUUUCUGUUGAUUUUUUGGACCAAUCAUUAAUUUGAUAGGGUUAUAGGAAGUCCUAUGCUCCUGUAACUGAGAAGACACUGUCUAAGUGUGGGUCCAGAUUGAGGAGGUCCUUUGGGGUCUGUUGCUUCUAUCAUUGGCCUGACCCACGCUGUCUCUCAAAUUCAGACCUCUCAGAAAAAGGAAGAAAGGCUUCAUCCGCAGUGGGCAUUAAAAAAAAUCAUAAACAUCUAUUCAUGGUCUUGGAAUUGAAUCUUAAGGCAAAGCAGGAUCUCAGGUAAGAUUGACAGAUGAUGAACUGGCAGCCCACACCCCAUUCCUGUUGAUAUGUUCUACCUCUUUCUAUUACUGGGGUGUGAUUACUUCAAAGCCAGGAAGAGCUGCAAUCUAAUUUUAGAAGAAUGCCCUUCUUUUACACGUUGGUGAGUAUAUAUCUUAAUAUAUGAUGUAUAUAUCUAUAUAAUUUUAGUAGUUGUAUAAUAAAAAUUGGGAUAGGUAAACAAAAGAGAGCAGCUGAAAAGUCUACCUAUAAAGGCUUCAGGCUAACAUAGUUACUUAUAUUGCUUCUACCACAAAUCUGUGGGGAUGAUUUUUAUUUGUUGGGAAGGGUUGUCUCUGAAUUUCCUGUAAAGUUUGGCAUUUUAAAUCUUUUUUUUGACUCUUCUCCUGUUAAAUAUAUAUCUUGGAAACUUGGCUGUUUCUGUUUCCUGAGCUUCACAGCGAACCAACAAACCAGCAGUAACUGUAAUCCACCUCUUAAAAUUUAAUCCCUUGGGACAGUCCAUCUCAAUGGCAGAAUAAGAAACACUCUCCUGGCAGAAUAAGGGUGAAGAUAAGCCUAUUCCUGUACUUAUCUGGGAGCACAUGUAGGUAUGAGUAACAAGACCAAGAGCUGCCAAGGGUGAAGGAAGAUGUAGGAGCCCAUGGAUUGCAUGAGGGAAAUAUGGAUCCUGUGAAGGGCAAGUUGGUUUCUUUGUGUGGACGACCCAGAUAAAGCAAUGAAAAUGGAUAAUAAGGACAGUAAGGACAAGUGCCUUCCAAGGCAUUAAGGCAAAUGAGAUUGUAGCAUGGAUACAGAAGAGAAAGGAGAGAGAGAAAAAGUAGAUGGAAAAGUAAAUGACUCAAACCUUCCAUUACUGAAAGUUCCAAAUGUUUCUUUAAUGGCAAUCACCAGAUUGUAGGCCUUCAUUUUUCACCGGUCAGCAUUCCCUCAUCUUUCUGUUCAUAACAAAUGUGAGUUCCUCUUCUGACCACUAGAGGUCUCUAGAGAAUCACGGAUCAACAUCUGAAGCCUCAUACCCUCUUGCUAUCAGCCACUCUAGGAGGUGGAAAUGUUUAUUUUUCCAACAUGAAUAGUCAGUCACAUAGUCACAAGAGAUCCAAGGCCUGAAUCUUAAAUUUCUAAAAAUUAAAAAAUGCAUAUAGCUGCUUCAGUGGGUAGCUGCCUACUCAACUUCAAGCUGGCACUGACCAUCAUCCCUCAAAUAUGUCCCUUGCUAUUUUGAUGGUAGAAAUUCUGCUAUUACACAGAAUAACAGCACUGCUUCUACUAAAAAGGCAAAUGCUGUGGAAGCCUAAUUUAUACAAUCAUAAUGAGUUAUUUAUACGAUAGUAUGAGUGACUCCGUUGGGCCUUUGCCAUUGUGAUUACGAAGGAUGACAGAUCAGGGUUGGUGGGGAGAUGAGGAGGGCAAUGAAAGAGGAGGUGAAGACAAACUUCAUCUACUUCACACCAUUGCAGAGGUCUGACCCCAGGUCCUCUUCCAACUUCCUGCCCCUCAGUAAGUGCUGUGGGUGUGUAACCCAACUCUGGGGUCAAGUGAACAAACUGCCCUCAACUUCCUUAAGGCUUCCUGUUCAAGACGAUGACUUCCAGACUUUACUGGGACACUGAUAUUAUCACCUCUGGAGUCCUUGAUGUGACUCUCUUCCUGGUCAUAUGGACUGUAGCUAUUUUGGGCGUGUCCAACAUGUUUGAUAGUGCCGGUGAUGACAAGUGUACAUUUCAACAUUCCAUUAUUUAGAACACGCAUGUAAUUAUUUGUAAUGAAUCACUGAUGACAUCUGGAGAACAAUGAAGUCCUCUUUUAAUGUUUGGAUGAUUAGCUAUCGGAAAUUUUUACUUUGAUGGUCUUUCAUUUUUAUCUCAAGGAUUUUGGAUAUUAGUUCCUGUUGCACUCUGAUGUACAUUAAUUUUUCCUACAUUUAUCUGUCCAUCAAACAUUUAUUGAGAGUCUAUUAAUUUCCUCUUACACUGAAGGCUCUAUAAAUAUGAGGAUGAAUAGGAAGAAUAGGGCAGGGUUCUCAAGAAGUUCGUCAGUUGAUAGAAGGGCCAGAUAUGUUGAGGCAGUUACGAAGUGCAUGAUAAAUAGAGAAGUACGAAGUGCAUGAUAAAUAGAGAAGUACGAAGUGCAUUGGGACUAGGAAAAAAAUAAAGAAAUACUUCUAGAAAAAUAAAGUCCAUUUUCUCAGCUUGUUUGAAAGCCAUCAUCUGUUGUUGUUAUUAUUUUUCAUCAGGGGACAGUAGUCUGAUAAUUCACCUUGAUGCCUUUGGUAUAUUUUUUAAUUGCUUUUAGCUCUUUUAAAAGGUGCUUACCACAGGGUUGAAGGGUAGAGUAUAUGUAAGGCAAUGUGGCUAGAGCCUACUGGUAUAACCCAUUCCAAAGGAGUGACCUCUUAUCUGGUCAAAGGAAGACCAGUGGCCAGUAGGGUUGCCUGUGUUUUCACAGUGGAUAUCCUGGAGCUCCUGAAGUUGGUACUACUGGAACACAGAACAUUCCCUACUGAAGAGAAUGUUAUAAAGUGCAUAUGUUCUUUCUUUCUGCAAUUUUCAAGGAUUGUGCACAUCUCUCAGUAACCUAGCCUUCUUUUGAAGCCUUGCUUACAAGACAGAAAAUUAGACAGCUGCUCCAAAAGAGUCAGAUGCUGAGAUCCAUUGUCCACCCUGGCUCCUGCUCUGAAUUGACAUCAGUUUGCAACUAGCAGUUUCAUAAAUCAAGAAAAAGAAGAAAGGUAAAUUAAUGACUGUGUUAACUAGAGGGGCUCUGAAUUUCUGCUUUACAUGUACUCAUUUUGAAUUUCACUUUUAUUAUAAUGAACUUGCAAACACAGCAUUGCAAUAGUAUAUGCACCUCCCAAAGAUGCUGGGAAAUAGCUGAUAUUUCAUCAUUUGAGGACAGUUUGUGCCUGCAAGUGGCAGAGGUGCAGGAGGAGACAAAUAAAAGGGAUGCCUACAUCCUAUUUCCAUGAAUUUCUGUCCUCUGAGCUGAAAGACAAUUUACAAGUUGGCUGAUAAGACCUUGAAGAAAGAAGAUAUUUUAAAACUUUAAUUGAAAAUCCCCAUUCCUUCUCAUUGAAGAAGCAAAAGAAGAAACUAUAAUGAUGGACACUCUGGUGCUAGUAUCAGUCAUUUUGAUCACAAGACGUGGACCAGCCCACCUUGGAGCUCACUGUGGUGGUGGCCUGGUCCUAAUGCAAGUCCUAAUGGAGCUCUUGGAACUGGCUGUAGCCUUUGCUGAGCAGGAGCAACUAUGUCUCUGGUUCUUAAGGAUUGAAAAGGUUUCUUGGAAAAGCUUUCAUUUUCUGAAAUAAACAUCCCCUUGAGCCUGGUGUGUCUGUGGCCAUCUGAAAACGUCCACAUGAUGCCAGACCAUGCUUUACUCUGAAAAUCCACCGAUAAGGUACGUUGAAGAUGGAGAACAACUGAUGUCAAGACACAUUUUGGUUGUAAGGGACAGAAGUCCAACUCCAACGAGCUUGCCAAGGAUGGAACCUGCUGGCAAACAUAACCAAACUUUGGGAAGGGCAGGGUAUGGUUAACCUCAGGUUUCUGGAAGCAGAGUGUACAGUGCUGUGCCGUCCCUCUUCUCUCUGCUUCUCUCUGCGUAUUGGCCCUAUCCUCUCAGUGGGGCACCCUCCCUGAGCAGCGAACAGCAGCCACAGGAAGCUCCAGUGUCAAUGCCUCCCACAGCUUUCCAGAGAAGCAGCAGCCUCUUUGUUAGCUCCGUAUCAAAGACAUCCACAGGCAGGGCUUUGUGUGACCCAGUUUGGGUCACGUCUUUAUUUGGGGCCCGGAGGAAAUGGAUACAAUGACUACAGCCCAUCAUAGAACCUCAUGUUUAGAGGACCAAAUUUCCUCUCUCCAAAAGUGAAAUGUUGUCACUGUCCAUUCAACUGAUGAAAAUCUUCCUUUUCAACAGAAAAACUAUCAUGAUGUUGUCUGUUGGGCUUCAGUUUCUUACAGCAGUCAUCUUAAGAAUUAAACUGGUAUGGAUAAUCUGACUAUGAACUCCUUGAGGGCAGGGACCAUAUUAUAUAAUACUUCUGUGUCCUCUGCUAUUUCUUAGCAGAAUUUUGAAAAUGUGCCAAGUGUUGACUUGGUUCGAUCACUUGUGAGAAUGGAGGGACCCAUAAUGUUAAUAAUCAAUGAAGGUUGUUGGAGUUACUUACCCAAAACCUUAUGAACUUAGCCUUCCCUAGCAGAUUUAGUUUCGUAAUUUGUCCGGUAUAAGCAAACACUAAAGAGGGAUUGGGGAAAGUUGUGAGUUGAGUAGUUGGGAAAAAGGUAGUUUGCAGUUUUAUUUACGUCUCACAGCUUGACAUUUUUUGUUUGCCUUGGAGGGGGUACUUUUAAAAAUUCCUCUUUUGAAAACAAUAAAAUCUUAGAUUUUGGAUAACAGAUAUUUCUGUACUAUAUACCUCACUUAAGAUUUUCAAAGUAAUGUUUAAAAGUGCCUUUUAUAUUUUUUCAUACCACAUUGUAGGGAAGGCCAGGGUCAUUUUUUAACACUUAACUAUGCUCAAUACCUCCUCACCACUAUAAAGUAAGGUCGAAUGUUGGUUAAAGCAAAGCUGUCUGGAAUCACCCUGUCAAAAGUACUGAUUUAUAACCUUGCUACUCACAUUUCUUACUGUGGUGCCCUCCCUCUUGUUGGCUCCUGCAUCUUUGAAGUACAGGGAAAAUGAACUAAUAUGGCAGCUCCAAUAUGCAGCUAAUCCUGCCAAUGAUGUCUCCCCUGGAAGUGUUUGAGAGAAGAAUUUCUUUUCCCAGUAUGGAUUUAUGUAAACAUUUGUUCCAUUCACGAGUAGCACAUUAAUGCCUAAUUCUGGAAAAAAUACAAAGAAAAAACCUUU